RNAcentral lists this microRNA precursor (72 nucleotides) under Medicago truncatula (barrel medic). RNAcentral describes it as "MIR2629 microRNA precursor family". It matches the Rfam family "MIR2629 microRNA precursor family". The record is from Rfam by way of RNAcentral. Lineage: Eukaryota; Viridiplantae; Streptophyta; Magnoliopsida; Fabales; Fabaceae.
UGCCGAAGUUUUCCUCGACAGUUAACUGCAGUCGUAUUUGUAAAACUUCGGCAGUUAACUGCCGAAGGGUAU